UUGGAUUUUGGGUUUUGUGAUUUAAAACUUGUUAAGGCCUCUUGAGAGCCCAAUAAUUGUUAAUGGGCCUCUUGAGAGCCCAACUUAAAUUUUCAUUUGUCAUGUUUAGUCCCACAUUGGAAACCAAAAGAGUGUUUGUGGUUUUUAUAUAUUCAUUUGUUCUCAAGCUAGUUGCUUGGAAGAAAAUGAGAGUAAUGCUCUCGUUUAAACACAUGCACGGCACGAGCCGGGCUGGGCGAGCGGCGGCGCGCGCAACACUCGAUUUUUUUUUAUUUUUAUUUUGUCGGUUUUAUCUUUAUUUUAAUCCUUAUCUUUAUCUUUAUCCUAAUCCUAAUCUUUAUCCGUAUAAUCUUAUGCUUAUCUUGUUUUACACUGAUUUGACGCGUUGAAGCAAGAUUCUCGCAUAGAUUAUAAAUAUGGGGCAAGGUUGUACGAGUUAAUUAGUAAUAAAAAUAACCCGAGCAUACCUAAAGCCUCUCGUCCUUUUUCUACUUUCUGAAUUUUCGUCGAGUUUUAUUUUGCUGGGUCUGAAGUUGAUUGGGUUCAUCUUGCGCCACCUUGGAAGCGUGCCGACGCGAUGGAACGUGAUAGUUGUAUUGCUAGGAGUAACUGCUGGGAAGCCUCGCACGUGGAGGGGCAACUUCGCUUCUAGGACAGUGCUCUUCACGCCUCGAUCCACAGGCCUUAUCUAAACCUUAACUUUAUAAUAUUUUUGUUUAAUUUUGUUUCGGAAUUUUUCUACAGCUGAAAUUGAAUUUUUGAGUUGUUUUUAAAGAGUAUUGUAAUAAAAGAUCAGAAAGAUUUUUCCAACAAUCUAGAAGUGAAAUUAUUUUUUAAUUUAAUCUUUCUGUUUCUUUUAUUAUAAGAAUUAAAAUAUUUCUUGAUCUCUCUGAAUAAAACGUAAAAUUUCUUACUGUUAUUUUUCUAAAAUUCAAAACUGUUUUUUGACAUAACAGUAGAAUUAAUUUGUGAAUAGAUUUUUUUUUUAUUAUGGAGGAUUCGGCGAAACCGUUUACUUUUGAUAGUCAUAAUUUUAAGAGAUGGCAUAACCAAAUGAGGUUCUGGCUCACCACACUUGGGCUGGUUU
Molecule: long non-coding RNA, 1087 nt
Filed under: Ananas comosus (pineapple)
Lineage: Eukaryota; Viridiplantae; Streptophyta; Magnoliopsida; Poales; Bromeliaceae
Description: long non-coding RNA (ACOM_LNC015759)
Source: RNAcentral